CCCGUGUGUGAUGGAGGCCAGAAUAAAAGAAGAUCAAGAAUAAAGCAGAUGUUUCUUUUUUUCCAGGGUUUUUUUUUUUUUUUUUUUUUUUGAAAAAACGGUUUGUUUUUGGACAAACAAGUCCGCGAGGUGCCCGAAGGAAAGGUGGGCACUUCUUGUAUCUUGCGAGGCGUAUUGUUGCGGAGGUGUCAGGCCUCGGCUCUGCGCUGAAUGAGCCGGACAGGAAGACUAUGGGCCGUAUUGAAACCGGGAGCCGAGCUCCGUCUUUCAGUCCCGGUGCUUUCGGAGACGGAGAGAGAAAAGCCAUGACUCUGAAUGCUGGCAAACAAAAGCAGAUUUCAAUCAGGAGCAGCACUCGGACUGUAUUUAUGGACUCCCUGGGGGUAAUAAGACCAUACUUUAAGAGAGCGGCCUGGCUUGAAAACACAAACACACACACACACACACACACACACAUAUGCUGUGAGAGGCACUGAUAUGUGCACACACACUUCAUCAUUUGCAUCUCAUCGCACAGCCCCGCGCACAGCCGUGUAGUUUUAUAGUCGCAUUUCAGUCGCGUCCUCUGUGCUGGAAAACCCAAUUUCACCUAAAAACAGUUACGGAGACGUUUCCUGAGCGCGCCUGCAUUCUGUGUGCAUAAUUCAUCAGACACCCGGGUGGUCCGAGUGCCUGCAGCUGACCUGACAACGCCAAGCGUGUGUACGCUGUUGGGGAAAAAAAAACACAACAAAAACUCCCAUCGAGAUUUCGGGCUGGGCGAUAUGGGCCAAGGUUUAUAUUAUUAUUUGUUUUUGCUUUAUUUUGCAGUAAAAGUAUACGUCACGGUAUGGGAUCCUGCUUCCGGCACGGAGAAAAAAAAUUGAGAAGUUGAGUUGAAUUCAAAUCCAGAACAUUCUACAGACUCGACCUCACAGAGACCAGUACGACAAGGGGAUCUCUGAUGCCAGUGAUCCUGACCCUUUCUGCUCUCCGGACCUGCCUGAUCCGUUCGGAUUCCCUACCUCUGGAUGGAGGUCUCAUCAUCUGGAGGCUACAGCAUGGAGACCGCCGAGGACGGUGCCGCUUGGAGUAGCAUGGAAAUGGUUUUGGACGUCAAUUCCACAUGGACGUUCUCGCUGUGGUCGCUGGGACGACGGUUGCAGCGAUGGCCUUGGGACUGCGAUUACCACGUGCAGUUUUACACUCGGGUCUCCUUUAGUGAACAGUGGAUCAGUUCAACAAAUAGACUUCAUAUAAACACCAUAAUGAACUUUCUUUUACUCUCACGCUAUCCGUCGUGACCCAGAUGAGCACGGGUUCCCUUCUGAGUCCGGUUCCUCUCAAGGUUUCUUCCUCGUAUCAUCUCAGGGAGUUUUUCCCUCACCACCGUCACCACCGUCUCGCCCAAUACGGAUAAAUCCACACGCUUAAAAUCUCCAUCCUGUGUUUAUACGUUUCUGUAAAGCCGCUUUGAGACGGCGUCCAUCGUUAAACGCGCUAUACGAAUCGAAUCGAAUCGAAUUGAAACGGACACCUUUCCACAACGUUAACGCUAACAUUUCCGUAACGUUCUUCGAAUAACGUUCUAACGAAUCGCACGGUCGGAGUCUCGGAACCGCCUCGGGACCUGUGGAAUCGGUUGCCGGAUGUUCUGAGAACGUUCUCUGUUUCGCUUGAGGAACAAAUGUCCUUUAUUACUGAUGGCGUUUCAUUUAAAUAAAUAAAUAAACAAACAAACAAACGCAUAUAAAGCGACGUAAUAUCUUAAAGACGGGAGACGAGUCUGUGUCGGGUUUUUUUUUCUUUCCC
Long non-coding RNA from Ictalurus punctatus (channel catfish), 1791 nucleotides. Lineage: Eukaryota; Metazoa; Chordata; Actinopteri; Siluriformes; Ictaluridae. The record is from Ensembl.